RNAcentral lists this ribosomal RNA (253 nucleotides) under uncultured bacterium. RNAcentral describes it as "partial 16S ribosomal RNA". It matches the Rfam family "Bacterial small subunit ribosomal RNA", at positions 524 to 776 of the family's 1533-position model. The record is from RNAcentral.
UACGAAGGGGACUAGCGUUGUUCGGAUUUACUGGGCGUAAAGCGCACGUAGGCGGAUUGUUAAGUCAGGGGUGAAAUCCUGGAGCUCAACUCCAGAACUGCCUUUGAUACUGGCGAUCUUGAGUCCGGGAGAGGUGAGUGGAACUGCGAGUGUAGAGGUGAAAUUCGUAGAUAUUCGCAAGAACACCAGUGGCGAAGGCGGCUCACUGGCCCGGUACUGACGCUGAGGUGCGAAAGCGUGGGGAGCAAACAGG